GUUUGUACGCCGGUGGCUCUUCUCCGCUGUCAGUGUGUAAAUGCCCUCUGCAUGCAAAUCAUACAGAUUUGGGACCACAUGAGGGUGAGUAAAUAAUGACU
Molecule: long non-coding RNA, 101 nt
Organism: Cyprinus carpio (common carp)
Lineage: Eukaryota; Metazoa; Chordata; Actinopteri; Cypriniformes; Cyprinidae
Source: Ensembl